CAAUUAAUUAAUUAACACUCUAAAUAAAUAAAAUAAAAUAUAGUAAUAAUAAUAUAAGAAAUAAUUACUAAAAUUGGGUUGUUACGGUCCACUCAAAAAUUAGAAAAAAAAAACAAAUAAUUAAUUAGAAACUAAUUAGAUGAAAAUUAAAUACUAAUUCUAAAAAUAAAUAAAUAACAAGUAGACACAAAGAAGUGCACAUCAAAUUAUAUUUGGGCCGAAUCUAA
This 227-nucleotide long non-coding RNA is filed under the name Lathyrus oleraceus (garden pea). Its description in RNAcentral is "Pisum sativum (pea) long non-coding RNA (PSAT_LNC039444)". Lineage: Eukaryota; Viridiplantae; Streptophyta; Magnoliopsida; Fabales; Fabaceae. The record is from RNAcentral.